GAAUUAAUUGAUAAACUUUACAAAUCUCUGUGGGUAAGACUCUAGUAUUUGCUUGCUAUACUAUCAUAUCGAUUCGUGCACUUGCGAGUUAUAACUUUUGUUCAUCACUCAUGCCCAUCUUUUCUCCUGGUAAAGCCACUUCCUAGAUAUGAUUGCUUACAAGGGUAGGCUGAAACUUCACUUCCUCCUUUGCACUGACAUCCCCAAG
Molecule: long non-coding RNA, 208 nt
Filed under: Prunus persica (peach)
Lineage: Eukaryota; Viridiplantae; Streptophyta; Magnoliopsida; Rosales; Rosaceae
Description: long non-coding RNA (PPER_LNC002169)
Source: RNAcentral